Molecule: non-coding RNA, 1727 nt
Filed under: Aspergillus clavatus NRRL 1
Lineage: Eukaryota; Fungi; Ascomycota; Eurotiomycetes; Eurotiales; Aspergillaceae
Description: Bacterial large subunit ribosomal RNA
Rfam family: Bacterial large subunit ribosomal RNA
Source: Rfam by way of RNAcentral
GGCAAGUAUAUAAAGAAAUUAUUAUGGAUAUUAGCUAUAUAUAAAGAAUAUCUAGUCAAUCUAGUUUCUAAGAGAAAUCAGAUAAUAAACGAAGUGAAUUGAAAUAUCUUAGUAACUUCAGGAAAAGAAAUCAAACGAGAUUGUUAUUUGGUGUAAACUAAAUAACAAAAGCCUAAAAACAAAACUUGUUAAAGUAAAACGGAUUAAAGUCUGUUUGAAUAAAGGGGAACCUUCCUCUAAGGCUAAAGAUGAUAUAUAAGCGAUAGUGAAAAGUACCGUGAGGUAAAAUUUGAAAUAGUAAUUUUAUAAGCAGCUCGAGUGAAAUUUAAAUAAAAAAUAAGAGCGUACCUUUUGCAUAAUGGGUCAGCAAGUUAAUUUUAGAUGCAAGCAAUGAUUUCAUGCACUUCAGGCAUGAAACUAGCUUAGAUAAACCAAUUAUGAAAAAAUGAAUAAGUAUCUAGAAUUAGACCCGAAGGCUAGUGAUCUUACCAUGGUCAGGGUUAUAAAAGCCCGAACGGGUUAUCGUUGUAUAGAUAUCCGAAGAACUGUGGUAAGUUAGUGAAAGACAAAACUGACUAGUAUAGCUGGUUUUCCGCGAAACCUAUAUGAGUAGGUAAUUUAAUUAACAUCUUAGCAGGUACAGAACUGUGAUCUCGGACAAUAUCUUUUGAUUUUGUCAACAUCGGGGGGUUGUAGUGACUUUACCGGAGAGUAUUUGCACUCGGAAUGGCAAAGAUGAAUGUUGAAUAAUCGGACAUAGUGCGAUAAGGUUGUAUGUCUAAAGGGAAACAGCCCAGAACAAGAGUUAAGGUUCCAAAAUUAUUGUUGAGUGAAAUUAAGGAUGUUUUUUUUUAAUACAAUCAGGAAAUAGGCUUAGAAGCGGCCAUUUUUUGAAGACCUCGUAACAGAGCACUGAUUAACUUUUUAGAAAAAAACACCGAAAAUUAACGGAUCUAAACAAUAUACCGAAACCUUGUACACAUUUAUAUAAUAAUAAUAUUGUAUAUGUGGGGUAGCGGAACAUUGGAUAAAUAUUAAUUAUUAUUUCUUUAUUAAGAAAUAAUAAGUAUGGAUUAUUAUUAUUAAACUAAAACUAAAUUAAAUAAGUAUGAAUUAUUAUUAAUAAACUAAAUUAAAUUAAAUUAAAUUAAUCCAUUAAUAUAAUCCAAGAGAGAAUGCUGACAUGAGUAACGAAAAAGGAAUAUCCUCGCCUAAAGCUUAUGGUAUUAUAUUUAAUUUUCGGUAUCUAAAUAUAUUAAUCAAAAGGUAAUUUUGAUGAUAUUUUUAUAAAAAAAUACUUAAAAGUAAAAAACAAAACCUUUAACAAGUAAUAAAGGUUCUGGAAAAUUUUUUACUUUAAAUAAAAUAUUAUUAAACUUAUAGUCUUAUGAGUAAAGCUCAAUAUGUUAUAUUGUAUUUACUAUAUAACUUCUUGUUACAAGUUUUCAAGAUUGUAUAGUUUAAAUACAAUUUAAUAGAGUUUUAUAAAAAAAAGAUAUAUCUUAUUUUUAUCUUUUACAUUAUUGUAUAUAUUAAGACUAUAUACAAAUAUAUAAUGUAAAUAUAAUAAGGUUUUUUAUAUACCGUACCUAGAUACUAUCACAAGUAAGCAAGUAGAGAAUACAAAGGCGUUUGAGUGAACAAUCAUUAAGGAACUCGGCAAAUUGACUACCGUAACUUCGGGAUAAGGAGGGCCAUUAUGAUUAGUUUAACAUACCUUACAGGUA